This 98-nucleotide microRNA precursor is filed under the name Marmota monax (woodchuck). Lineage: Eukaryota; Metazoa; Chordata; Mammalia; Rodentia; Sciuridae. The record is from RNAcentral.
GUUGGUAGAUAAGUAUGUAUGUGUGUGUGUGUGUGUGUGUGUAUAUAUAUAUAUAUAUAUAUACACACACACACACACACACAGAAAGAGAUGAUAGA